GGGGAGUGGUUUGUAUCCUUCCC
This 23-nucleotide unclassified non-coding RNA is filed under the name synthetic construct. The record is from RNAcentral.